UUUCAAAUGUUUAUUUCUUUUAAUUUUGAUGAUUAUAACUGACAACUAAGGAAAAUCCCAAAUUCGGUAUCUCAGAAAAUUAGAAUAUUGUGAAAAGGUUCAAUAUUGAAGACACCUGGUGCCACACUCUAAUCAGCUAAUUAACUCAAAACACCUGCAAAGGCCUUUAAAUGGUCUCUCAGUCUAGUUCUGUAGGCUACACAAUCAUGGGGAAGACUGCUGACUUGACAGUUGUCCAAAAGACGACCAUUGACACCUUGCACAAGGAGGGCAAGACACAAAAGGUCAUUGCAAAAGAGGCUGGCUGUUCACAGAGCUCUGUGUCCAAGCAAUAGGGAUAACCGCACCCUGGAGAGGAUUGUGAAACAAAACCCAUUCAAAAAUGUGGGGGAGAUUCACAAAGAGUGGACUGCAGCUGGAGUCAGUGCUUCAAGAACCACUACGCACAGACGUAUGCAAGACAUGGGUUUCAGCUGUCGCAUUCCUUGUGUCAAGCCACUCUUGAACAACAGACAGCGUCAGAAGUG
Long non-coding RNA from Ctenopharyngodon idella (grass carp), 527 nucleotides. RefSeq lists it as uncharacterized. The transcript is spliced from 3 exons. The record is from RefSeq and is a predicted model, not a curated record. NCBI's taxonomy places the organism in Eukaryota, Metazoa, Chordata, Actinopteri, Cypriniformes, Xenocyprididae.